GCAAUCGCAUAUACUUACUAACCAUCACAUUGGCUACGUUUUUAUUCAUCGUCAAUUAAAAGAACAUUUCAAUAUUUGACGUAAUACGGUAACAUUUAUUUCUGUAAAAUAUUGUGUAACGAUUGGUAGAAAAUUAUCGUUCUAGAAAUUAUAAUCGGUUAUGUUUUGGUAUUAUACUCUGAAAAAUCAUACAUAGACAUAUCAUAGAUAUCGCGUUUAAUCAUUAUUAUUAUAUUCCUUCAUUAGAUAAUUAAAAUUUACACAAUUGUACCGAAUUUUAAGGAUAGGGUGUAUUCACAAUAAACUGAAAGAACAAUAAAUUGGAUGUCAUUUUAUAUAAUUGCUUGACCAGAACCAAAUAAUAAAUAUACUAUACAUCCUAAUGCAUCUAUUAUAGCAAUGAAUAUAAAUACAACAGGCCAGCUGUGCGUUACAUGUAAUAUAUAUCCAGAAAAGUAUAGCACCAACAGUGUUCAUUAAUCCAAAUACACUUCCGGAAUGUUUUGGUGCAAGAUCUGAAGGAUUUACUGCAAUUGCAUUAUUAUGAAAACCUGACCCGCCAAUUAUAAACGCAAGACAAAUUAUUGCACUUUGAAAAGUUUCCACUUUUGCUGAAAUUGUUUUAAAAUCAAUUUCUCUAUUUAAUUUUUUCAUAUAUUAUUAUACAUACCUAUACUUACCUAAAAAUAAUAAGCUUAUAAUUUCAGUUAAAAAACAUAUUGUUUCGAUUA
Bombus huntii is the source of this 731-nucleotide long non-coding RNA. RefSeq lists it as uncharacterized. The transcript is spliced from 3 exons. The record is from RefSeq and is a predicted model, not a curated record. Lineage: Eukaryota; Metazoa; Arthropoda; Insecta; Hymenoptera; Apidae.